Molecule: ribosomal RNA, 297 nt
Filed under: Triticum aestivum (bread wheat)
Lineage: Eukaryota; Viridiplantae; Streptophyta; Magnoliopsida; Poales; Poaceae
Description: partial small subunit ribosomal RNA
Source: RNAcentral
AUGGGCGAUUUUAAAGUAGAAAUAGAUGUUCAGUCUUACUUGAAAAUUGUAGAUGGCAGAAGAGUGUACACAAGGGGCAAAACAUGGAAUUUUAUGGUCAGUCGAGGAUUAUCUGUGGUGCGGAUAAAGGAGGUUGUGGAGGAGAGGUACAAGUGCUCUGCUGAUCAGAGAAUGGCCAUUUGGGGAUCCGUAGAUAACACUGUCCCAUUGAUCUCUGAAAUAGAGGUAGCUCAAUUGUUUGAUACAUGUUCUAACACAAAAAUAGUAAGGUUCGGUGUGACCAUUGAGAGCAAAUAG